This 503-nucleotide ribosomal RNA is filed under the name uncultured bacterium. RNAcentral describes it as "bacterial SSU rRNA". It matches the Rfam family "Bacterial small subunit ribosomal RNA", at positions 15 to 507 of the family's 1533-position model. The record is from RNAcentral.
GAUCAUGGCUCAGGAUGAACGCUAGCUACAGGCUUAACACAUGCAAGUCGAGGGGUAGCACGGAGGAAGCUUGCUUCCUUGGGUGACGACCGGCGCACGGGUGAGUAACGCGUAUCCGACCUACCCAUAACUCGGGCACAGCCGCUCGAAAGAGAGAUUAAUUCCGAAUAACGUAGUAACGUUGCCUGAUGAUACUACGAAAGCUCUGGCGGAGAGGGAUGGGGAUGCGUUCCAUUAGGUAGUAGGCGGGGUAACGGCCCACCUAGCCAACGAUGGAUAGGGGUUCUGAGAGGAAGGUCCCCCACAUUGGAACUGAGACACGGUCCAAACUCCUACGGGAGGCAGCAGUGAGGAAUAUUGGUCAAUGGACGGAAGUCUGAACCAGCCAAGUAGCGUGAAGGAUUACUGCCCUACGGGUUUUAAACUUCUUUUAUGCGAGAGUAAUGUGCGCUACGUGUAGCGUAUUGCAAGUAUCGCAUGAAUAAGCAUCGGCUAACUCCGUG